ACUCCUACGGGAGGCAGCAGUAGGAAUUUUCCGCAAUGGACGAAAGUCUGACGGAGCAAUGCCGCGUGAGUGAUGAAGGUUUUCGAAUCGUAAAGCUCUGUUGUAAGGGAAGAAUAGCAAGAAUAGGAAAUGGAUUCUUGUUCUGACGGUACCUUACCAGAAAGCCACGGCUAACUACGUGCCAGCAGCCGCGGUAAUACGUAGGUGGCAAGCGUUAUCCGGAAUUAUUGGGCGUAAAGCGCAUGUAGGCGGCUCUUUAAGUCUGAUGUGAAAGCCU
This 277-nucleotide ribosomal RNA is filed under the name uncultured bacterium. Its description in RNAcentral is "partial 16S ribosomal RNA". It matches the Rfam family "Bacterial small subunit ribosomal RNA", at positions 335 to 603 of the family's 1533-position model. The record is from RNAcentral.